RNAcentral lists this long non-coding RNA (6236 nucleotides) under Varroa destructor (honeybee mite). RNAcentral's name for it is "uncharacterized LOC111254542, transcript variant X1". The record is from RNAcentral. Lineage: Eukaryota; Metazoa; Arthropoda; Arachnida; Mesostigmata; Varroidae.
GGGUGGGAAGAAAGACCAGGUUAGGACGACAAAGCACCGCGACCAGCACUCUUGCGCAUAUAAGCCAGCAGGGCGCGGGAAUUGCUUCGUUGGCAAACAAAAAGGAACUACGUAGCGUAUCUUCGAAAUGAGAGAGCAGAAACAAUGUACUAGACCUUACACAGUCAAUGCUGCUGCCACACGGCGGCAGUCCAUUCUCAUUCAUGUCUGCUGGUGCUAUUCGAGUCGCGGCUGCUCCUGUUUUGUUAAGUGGAGAACUAUCUCGUCCGCCCCACCGUCGCCGGUGGAUUGUGGCGGGCACUGGCGACAGUGUCGGCCUCCAAGCGGACCCUACUGGAAGAAAAUGCCUGAAAGAGGUUUGUGUUGGUACAAUAUGUACGAACGCUUGACGUAACCGUCAAAUGGCCUGCUCUCACUUUUAUCGAAACCGUUCCUGCCCUUGAUGCAGCUGUAUGAUGCAGUUUAAAGUCAUCACUCGUUAGCUGUUCCCGUCUCGGCUUCGGAGGCCAGUCGAAAAGAAAUGGGUCAAAAAAACGAGGCAAGGAAGAAUAUAACUAUAGAACGAUUGUAAGAGUUCCAAUUCGACUAAUCUCAUUAUGAGGCGUUCUCAUAACUUGAAGAGAACGGAUGUCAAGUCCAAGCAUUGUCAUAUAGAACUAAGCGCGAAUGACCAGCCAUUCGCACAGUGCGUAAUUUGUGCGCAACGGAACGUGGUUUGAUUUGGUGUAUUUGAUUUGGAACUUUUAUUUAAAUUCUAAAAAUAUGAAUCGAUCAAUCGUAACAAACGUUCGGAUGGUUAUUUUGUGUCAGUCAAUCAUCGAACACAUGGCCAGGAGUGCUCGAGCUUCUGUUCCAGUAAGGAGCGAUGUCAACUUGAAGGGAACGACCAUUUAGUGAAGGCGAGUAGUUUUCAAGAGGCCAGAGGAAUAGUACGUGUAACAGGUGCGGUUGGCUUUCGGUCUGUUUGAGAAGAAAUUGCUUCCGAAUAGAUAACAACUGGACUGCAUCUUCAUAACUCAAGCAAUACAAUGUAAAAAAUAUACACCUGGCUCAAGUUGAUCCUAGUGAAAUUUAUCAAUCCGAAUAGCGGCAAACUUUAAACUAACAUUACUCUCAAUAAGGUUGAUGGUCUUAAUAAGUUUGCAGGUAUUUAUUUCCAAGGUUCUUUCAAAGGCAACAAUGUUUCCUGUAAAGCGCCUCAUACUUAGAGCAGGUUGAAACGAAUUAGAUACAAUAUCUCUGUAUCCACACAACUUUUUGACGAAGCAAGGCUACUUGCAAUUUCUGUUAAAACAAACAGAAAGUACAGCUGCACACUUUUAGGUAUACUUCCCUGAUUACCAAUGUCAAAGUUUUCCUACACGUAGAAUAUAGUUGACAUAUCGGCAAUUAGAUUUUGUAUGGUUACGCGAAAAGGCCACGGAGGUACGUAGGGUCGAUAAAAUAUAGCUUGCCGUGCUGACUACUAGACAUCCAGCAAUUAUAGAGGCAACAUAGAAAUACGUUAUAUUCGGCGCAUGACGCCGAAACAGGUUCAGUCGAGGCAUUUCUUUAAAGCAUGCCCACGGAGCACAGACUACGAGGUCGUUCCAUCCGUUGGAAAAGCGUUGGGCAACAAGUUGGAAUUCAUGUAGAAUCACCGUUUUCGGUACGGAACGAUGACUCGAUUCGUCUGUGACAUAAAACACUUUGAAAAGGUCACCACAGAAAGGUCACACCAUUUAUGCGCUGCACAUGGAGGCGUGGAAGUUCACAUGCGUCAUCUUAUCACUAUUUCAUUAUUCGGUGCAAUGAUAUGCUUUUCAUGAAAUUUUAUCUUACUAUAGAUUGCACAGGCAAAAUGAGCGUGCACUAUUAAAGCGGUGUAUUUACAUCCCUGCACGUUGCACGUGUACCUUAUACUAGAAAAACGUCCGGUAGCUUAGGUUAAACUAGCUGAUAUUUGCAUUUUACCCCCGAAAGUAAAAUAGUCAACGUGGAUCAACAUUCGCUAUGAAUGAUAUUGUCAGUGGCGUUGUCCCGAACAUGUUUCCAGUGUACGUAGUACGUCGAGUACUAUUACCAGGCUAAAUAAGCAGAAGUUCGCACUCGCAUAUUUGUUCGGUUAUUCCCUUCGUUCCACGCUGUCCAGAAUAUCCACACACAGAUGAACUCUUAUCUCAGCCUUCCUUUAAUACCGAUCAUGAUAAGCUAGCUGUCAGAUAGCAAAUGCUUAUAUGACACAGUGCCCCAGCGACACCCGCCCCGAAGCCUUUCCCCACCUCCCGCGAUCGUGCCAGCCCCAAUUACAAUAAUAAUCAGUGUAACAAUGUCUGCACGGCAUGAAAUAACAAUACAGUUGAGAGAUAGUUGAACUGCGCCCUUGUCGUACGGAACAAUGUAACGUCAAGUGCAUUGUAGACAGCACCCCCACAAUUAGGUGAGCACAAGGUAAAUGACAGAAGGCUAUGGGAGCAGACGUUCGUGCGCUGUGGGAACGAACGCCUAUUAACGUAGGCAGCAUCUAUACGACGGUAGUCUAUCUAGAAUACUAGAACGACGACAUUGUGGUCAGUGACGAAUAGCAGCCAGUAGAGCUCGGUCCACAAUGUUUACAUGUUGGUCGACUACAUACAAAUAUACACACAGCCCUGACGCAGAAAGGAUUCGAUGAAGGCAGACAGGCAUGCAUAAAAGGAAAAUUUGGGUCGAAAACGGAUUUAAGUUGUAUGUGAUAGCAGCUGACUUUGAAGGCAUACACCAUCUAAUGUGUCUCGUGGUUCAACCAAGCUAUUCAAAGCAACAUGCUGAAUCCUAGAUGAAAUCGGUGGGUCGAUUUGCCCUUUUCUAUACUAAUCUUCGUAGAAAUUUUAAGUGCUUUAACGGGUCCCAGCUUUGGACCACGGAUGCAUUGCAUAGAAAACCGGAAUUCCUACUAAGCACUAAGAUCUCAAAUACAACCCGCGCCAUAUAGUUUUCGUGGCUACAGCUCUAAUAGUUCAUAUCAUAAAUAUACUUUCUAUUAUCUUGGCUAUGGUUUUAUUGCAGACAGUAUUAGCUGGCACCCAUUUUAGUGAGGCGCUAGAAUUCACAAUCGGUGACGACGAGGCCGUUGCAUGAACUGCGGAUGGCUUGGCCUUAGGCUUCCGCCUCGGUGCCUGUGAUGACGGUGAUCGGUGUGAUGACUACUGAGAAAUAAAUGCAAACGUCUACUGGGAAUGUAUGCACCCAUCUGUGGCAACUUCUCCCGAUUUCCAUAACUGCCGCCUCUGAGGUUCACCGUGAGGGGUCAUUUGCAUGCAUAGGAGACCUGGCGCCUGCCCUAGUAACUGAAAGGUGGAUGGACAAACGGCGCCCGGGCUUUGUUCUCCAGUUAGGCAGCUUGACGUAUUUUCUUAGCUACCCCCUCGAAAAAUGAUUGAGACAAAGGCUACAUUAGUUGAAGGGCCUUUAACUACAAAGGUUCAGCUCGUCCUCAUUCGUUCUGUUGCUGCUAAUCGAAACGCAGGAUCUUUAUAGGGUGGGACAAUAGGGGCAAUAUAGUUAGAGCCGUAACACUCACCAAUGAAGUUAUAAAUUUAAAAAUAGCUUUUCUUCGGAUGAUACCUCCUAGCUUUUCAUUUUGUUAUGUAGCGCCUAGUAACAUGAAUAUUUUUGUUUAGAUCUCCGAACAAUACGAAAAAUAAAUAAAAGAAACUUCUUUCCCUAAGCUUGUCCUAGCUCCGUGUCACCAAUCGUAUUGAGCUAAAACCUGAUCGAGUUAAUUAGCUAAAGGUAGAAGCAUCUGUAAUUGGACACACAUUUGGAACAACUUUCAUUACAAAAACCUAAUGAGAUACAUAAUGCUAGCCUAUAAAGGUGCUAGAUAAAGUCAAUCUAGACGCCUGAGAGUGGUAGACGAAAAUUAAGUCAAAUCUACGUACAUAUAUAAGAUAAGAAUCAACGUAUGUCCUGAUAUUGACUAAGCCUGAGUCCCAUAUGAUAUUACAUAAUUAGCGUACAAAAGUAAUCAUCAGUAAAAAAAAAAAACAUGGAUUAUAAAUCUAGUUUUUCCGUCCUAAUUCAGCUCGACUUCUCACACUAUCGAUGCCACGGAACCGCCUGCCGCUAUAAAAUAGUUCUCUUUACGUUUUUUUGCAACAAUAAAAAAUACGUAUCGUAAAAUUGUAGGGUUUGGGGUGUUGGCCCGCUUUUCCUCUCACCAAGUUUUCCCUUCCAACCUCCAAUGUUUGCGUAUCUAAAUUUAACUCAGAUCUUAUGUUAUCUCUGGCUAAAUAUCCUUUAUAUAUUCUUAAGGGGAUCCAAGAGCUAUUAUUUUUAAGUGGCGGUCUUGAUGAGAUACGCGCCUUAUUACAGGCAACGUACCUACUGCUUGUGCAGGAAGAGCGUUUUUAUGGAAUUAGAUGGAUAAGCGAGAACGCAAAAUGCAUAACCUUAUACAUUUAUAAAUGUGGGCGUUUGCGUCUAGCCGUCUACAUACGAACAUGUCAGACCGAAAAUUUAAAAAAAAAAGACCAAGAGCCGAAUCACAUCACCGCAGCUUACGUUGCAUAUAUAUAUAUAUAUAGCGAGAGAAACAUAGAUAUCGCAAUCUAAGGUCUCUAUGAUUUUUCGUAGCUUUCAAGAUUGUUCCGGCCCUUUUCCACAGAAAAGUUACUUGUAAAUGAUUCACUAGAUCUUAUCGAUAUUGUCGCAAUGUUACAGUCCAGUCUUGUCCAACCUAGAUUCUUGCUUCUGUCGAAUGACAUAUGUGUAAUAUUCCAUAUAUAUAUAUAUAUACACUUUGUUAGUAUUAUUUACCGAGCGAAAAAGGUCAAUGACAUUAACUAUAAGUAACGGUAUUAUUACAUUUAUUAGAAUAAGCAUCCAUAGUUAUAAAAAUUGGACGUUCGAUUUUUGGAGCUCGUAUGUGCAACCAACAUUUUACUGAGAGUAUGUCUAUAUAUUAUACCUAAGACAAAAAACACAAUACAUCUAUAAUCCUUUUUUUUCAGUUGUAAUAUUAUUUUGUCUAAUGGCGGCCUGCAACCGUGUGCGUGUCCGCCAUUUUGUAUUGGCUAAGAACCUCAUGAUCGCAUUACAAUGACCCGACAUUCAAUAAUCGUACGUUUUCAUACCGCAGUAGCUAGAGCGCUUCUCAAUCGCACGCGGCGUGCAGCUGUUUUUGAAUUGAUGCGCAUCUAAAUACGCUAACGAAAUCUAUUAUUAAGUUGUUCUUCGAAUUGGUCCGGAAAAGUUAAACGAGACAGGCAUGGACUGUAUCGCCUGAUGUUUGCAACGAAUUCAAGUAAUUCCACGAUGAGGACGCUCUGUACAUUCUGAACAAGCCACAGGUUCGUGGCUUGGCAUAUUCAUCGAUGCGGCACGCGUCUGUAUGUAUUCCACAAGCUACAUCCUCCUCCGCCAUGUCUCAGCAUGUAGCUUUUCACGGAAAGCAUCAGCAGAAUUAAGAUCCUGAGGAACAUCUACAUUAUACAGAUACGACUUCGUUCAUUAUAUAACUAUAAAAUAAAAUUUCUAUCCCACUGCCCUUUCAGUGCUCAAUUGGGCAGUCUUUAGCUACACUUAUUGUACUAACGUUUGUACAAAUAAAUUUUUAUUUAAUUUAUUCCUCCGCUUAUGAAAGCUGCUGUUUAUUAUAUGUGGUUGCUCUUGGCACCUCUUGCUAUUCGUAAUUAUGAUCACUAGUGAUUGACAUUGAUUAAAUCAUAAGCGAACAUAAUUAUCGACACCUUCGAGCAUUUAAAAUGUGCCUUAGUUCGUCGUUGGCCCAGGCUAGUCGACGUAAUAGGGUUAGAGCUUUGACUAUCCUGAGGGAUUCGAAUUUAUUCAGGAGAUCUUUAUGCAGAUUACGAGGCAGAUCCACACUCCUCGGCUUUUUCGUUGGCCUAUCGAUAAAGCUUCUCCCCAAAGCCAGGCCUCGGAAGUCACUCUACUCGUGUAAGGGACUGCUUAACGUGAGCAACAGAAGUUUUUCAAAGCGUACUGAUAACGACUACUGGUAUUCAUCGGCGUCCAAUCUCAGCCCCUUCGAAGAGAUAACGUGGCGGACCCGCCGAAAAGUUCAGCUGUUUGCUGUAGCCGUACGAGCGUACUAAACAUGUAUGGUUAUUUAGAUAUUGAGUACUGCGGAUCAGUUAAGUUAAACGAACACAACUUAUUGUUUAAAACUGUUAUAUAACCGUUUGACUAAAGUUAUUUCGAACGGAGAAUAUAUAAACAAACUACGGAAGCUCGAAACGAAUCAUCCUGGACUU